RNAcentral lists this ribosomal RNA (378 nucleotides) under uncultured eukaryote. RNAcentral's name for it is "partial 18S ribosomal RNA". It matches the Rfam family "Eukaryotic small subunit ribosomal RNA", at positions 592 to 976 of the family's 1831-position model. The record is from RNAcentral.
CAAUAGCGUAUAUUAAAGUUGUUGCAGUUAAAAAGCUCGUAGUUGGAUUUCGGGACGGGCCAGUUGGUCCGCCGCAAGGUGUGUUACUGACUGGUCUGUUCUUCUUCGCAAAGACUGCGUGUGCUCUUCGUUGAGUGUGCGUAGGAUUUACGACGUUUACUUUGAAAAAAUUAGAGUGUUCAAAGCAGGCUAUCGCUUGAAUACAUGAGCAUGGAAUAAUGGAAUAGGACUUUGGUCCUAUUUUGUUGGUUUCUAGGACCGAAGUAAUGAUUAAGAGAGACAAUUGGGGGCAUCCGUAUUUCGUUGUCAGAGGUGAAAUUCUUGGAUUUACGAAAGACGAACAACUGCGAAAGCACUUGCCAAGAGUGUUUUCAUUAA